Molecule: long non-coding RNA, 1326 nt
Filed under: Salmo salar (Atlantic salmon)
Lineage: Eukaryota; Metazoa; Chordata; Actinopteri; Salmoniformes; Salmonidae
Description: lncRNA (ENSSSAG00000107645.1)
Source: RNAcentral
GAUGGGUCGGUAAACCACAUCAGGUAAUAACUGAUGGGUGGGUAAACUAGAUCAGGUGAGAACUGAUGGGUCGGUAAACUAGAUCAGGUGAGAACUGAUGGGUGGGUAAACUAGAUCACUUAAAAACCAAAAGGCUUAAUAGAUUCUUAAAAAUCUGUUCACUAGGUCACAAAUGAAACACUAAUGAAAUACUUCAGUAGGUCUCAAAACACUGAAGACAUUGUUAACUAGGUCUCAUAAUACUUUUACACUGAAGACAUUGUUAACGAGGUCUCAUAACACUGAAGACAUUGUUAACGAGGUCUCAUAACACUGAAGACAUUGUUAACGAGGUCUCAUAACACUGAAGACAUUGUUAACGAGGUCUCAUAACACUGAAGACAUUGUUAACGAGGUCUCAUAACACUGAAGACAUUAUUAACUAGGUCUCAUAACACUGACGGUCUCAUAACACUGAAGACAUUGUUAACGAGGUCUCAUAACACUGAAGACAUUAUUAACUAGGUCUCAUAACACUGACGGUCUCAUAACACUGAAGACAUUGUUAACGAGGUCUCAUAACACUGAAGACAUUGUUAACGAGGUCUCAUAACACUGAAGACAUUGUUAACUAGGUCUCAUAACACUGAAGACAUUGUUAACGAGGUCUCAUAACACUGAAGACAUUGUUAACGAGGUCUCAUAACACUGAAGACAUUAUUAACUAGGUCUCAUAACACCGAAGACAUUAUUCACUAGGUCUGUCACGUAGAGUAGGCCAGAAACCUAACCUCUAUCAAAUAAAAAGAUGGCGUAUCCUCAAAAGUACUUCUGUGCGAAGGUGUUUAUUUACAGAGUAUUUGCAUAGUGAAUCCGGAAGAAAAACAGUACUGCCAUGAAAGGUAUACAUUAAGGGGACAGCUAAAAAAUUUUUUAAAAAAAAUGGUGCCCCCAUCAACAACUCAAUCCAAAAUGGUUCCCCCCCUUGAACUGAAAGAGAGGCUCCUUUUAUAGGGGAAGCCCCUCCCAUCAGAACAUACUAAUUAAUUAAGCAAUUAACCUUCAUCAAAGCCUUCAUUUUCCACUCAGCUAAACAUACUGAAUUAUAUACACUGUGACACGUUUCUCAUGAUAUACAAUAUACCAAUAUAGCAAGUUUACAAAAUCCCAUCCCUACUGACAUGGAGUCUUCCAAUAUGCCCAUUCACAUGAACGAGCCAUUCUAGGACAGGCACUACAAAGCCAGCCCGAUUACCGUAGCUCUGGUCCUUAUCCCAGCCAUACCCGGAAACUACAGAGACUGGAGAGAGAGAGAGGAACAGAAUCAAACAAACAACUCACUCAUCC